This 253-nucleotide ribosomal RNA is filed under the name uncultured bacterium. RNAcentral describes it as "partial 16S ribosomal RNA". It matches the Rfam family "Bacterial small subunit ribosomal RNA", at positions 524 to 776 of the family's 1533-position model. The record is from RNAcentral.
UACGUAGGGUGCGAGCGUUAAUCGGAAUUUCUGGGCGUAAAGCGUGCGCAGGCGGUUUUGUAAGUCUGACGUGAAAUCCCCGGGCUUAACCUGGGAAUUGCGUUGGAGACUGCAAGGCUGGAGUCUGGCAGAGGGGGGUAGAAUUCCACGUGUAGCAGUGAAAUGCGUAGAGAUGUGGAGGAAUACCGAUGGCGAAGGCAGCCCCCUGGGAUAACACUGACGCUCAUGCACGAAAGCGUGGGGAGCAAACAGG